GAUGAACGCUGGCGGCGUGCCUAAUACAUGCAAGUCGAGCGAACAGACGAGGAGCUUGCUCCUCUGACGUUAGCGGCGGACGGGUGAGUAACACGUGGAUAACCUACCUAUAAGACUGGGAUAACUUCGGGAAACCGGAGCUAAUACCGGAUAAUAUAUUGAACCGCGUGGUUCAAUAGUGAAAGACGGUUUUGCUGUCACUUAUAGAUGGAUCCGCGCCGCAUUAGCUAGUUGGUAAGGUAACGGCUUACCAAGGCAACGAUGCGUAGCCGACAUGAGAGGGUGAUCGGCCACACUGGAACUGAGACACGGUCCAGACUCCUACGGGAGGCAGCAGUAGGGAAUCUUCCGCAAGGGGCGAAAGCCUGACGGAGCAACGCCGCGUGAGUGAUGAAGGUCUUCGGAUCGUAAAACUCUGUUAUUAGGGAAGAACAAAUGUGUAAGUAACUAGGCACGUCUUGACGGUACCUAAUCAGAAAGCCACGGCUAACUACGUG
RNAcentral lists this ribosomal RNA (497 nucleotides) under uncultured bacterium. RNAcentral describes it as "partial 16S ribosomal RNA". It matches the Rfam family "Bacterial small subunit ribosomal RNA", at positions 28 to 507 of the family's 1533-position model. The record is from RNAcentral.